This 72-nucleotide transfer RNA is filed under the name Phrynosoma platyrhinos (Desert horned lizard). RNAcentral's name for it is "tRNA-OTHER". Lineage: Eukaryota; Metazoa; Chordata; Lepidosauria; Squamata; Phrynosomatidae. The record is from RNAcentral.
GCCAGUGUAGUGUAGUGGUUUGAGCAUUGCACAAUGACUCUGGAGAUCAGGGUUCAAAUCCCUACUCAGAUA